GUGUCGUUGGCUCGAUUGACUAGGCGGAUACCUGCAAAGUAUCUUUAGGCAGGUUUGAAUCCUGCACGACACUCCA
Molecule: transfer RNA, 76 nt
Filed under: bacterium
Lineage: Bacteria
Description: tRNA-Cys
Rfam family: tRNA
About the family: Transfer RNA (tRNA) molecules are approximately 80 nucleotides in length. Their secondary structure includes four short double-helical elements and three loops (D, anti-codon, and T loops).
Source: RNAcentral